AAGUCGUAACAAGGUAACCGUAGGUGAACCUGCGGUUGGAUCAUUACUUUUGUAUGUUACGGUGCGCGCUCUCUCUUUCCAAGAGUGUGUGGGGUCCCUCUAGAGGGGGGCUCUACUUCUUUAGGAGUAUAUGUAUGGAGAUCGAGUCGCACCGCAAUGUGUUAACCCCUGUGAACCGAAGCGUAUCUGGCCUCUUUGCCGAGGCCGACUUUUUAUAGCAACACCUUUUAACCGACGUAACUGAUGAUAAAAAAGAGUAAAUGAGAACAACUUUUGACAACGGAUCUCUAGGCUCUC
RNAcentral lists this unclassified non-coding RNA (297 nucleotides) under fungal sp. Its description in RNAcentral is "partial internal transcribed spacer region". The stretch from base 1 to 46 matches the Rfam family "Eukaryotic small subunit ribosomal RNA", at positions 1786 to 1831 of the family's 1831-position model. Lineage: Eukaryota; Fungi. The record is from RNAcentral.